This 497-nucleotide ribosomal RNA is filed under the name uncultured bacterium. RNAcentral describes it as "partial 16S ribosomal RNA". It matches the Rfam family "Bacterial small subunit ribosomal RNA", at positions 28 to 507 of the family's 1533-position model. The record is from RNAcentral.
GAUGAACGCUGGCGGCGUGCCUAAUACAUGCAAGUCGAGCGAACAGACGAGGAGCUUGCUCCUCUGACGUUAGCGGCGGACGGGUGAGUAACACGUGGAUAACCUACCUAUAAGACUGGGAUAACUUCGGGAAACCGGAGCUAAUACCGGAUAAUAUAUUGAACCGCAUGGUUCAAUAGUGAAAGACGGUUUAGCUGUCACUUAUAGAUGGAUCCGCGCCGCAUUAGCUAGUUGGUAAGGUAACGGCUUACCAAGGCAACGAUGCGUAGCCGACCUGAGAGGGUGAUCGGCCACACUGGAACUGAGACACGGUCCAGACUCCUACGGGAGGCAGCAGUAGGGAAUCUUCCGCAAUGGGCGAAAGCUUGACGGAGCAACGCCGCGUGAGUGAUGAAGGUCUUCGGAUCGUAAAACUCUGUUAUUAGGGAAGAACAAAUGUGUAAGUAACUAUGCACGUCUUGACGGUACCUAAUCAGAAAGCCACGGCUAACUACGUG